Molecule: long non-coding RNA, 1354 nt
Organism: Eriocheir sinensis (Chinese mitten crab)
Lineage: Eukaryota; Metazoa; Arthropoda; Malacostraca; Decapoda; Varunidae
Exons: 3
Source: RefSeq, a predicted model, not a curated record
UCCGAGCAUCCUUAGGGCCAUAUUUUAAGACACCAUCGCUUCUCACAUCAACUAUUUCUAAAGGUCAAAGAGGGGAUCAAUCGGGUUUUCAUGAGUUUUUUUCAAGGUUCAUGGCACAGAAGAAGGGUCAAACUACCACCAGGGUCAUAAAACUGCCCCUAGAAAGGCCUACAGCUCCUACGAAAGCCAUGUCAAAUAUGCGAACUUGGGCGACGAAAUGUUUUAAAAUACGACCUUCAGCCUCCUGUAGGUUUUAUUGACCUUAUAUUGUUGUUGUUUUUUAUCAUGCUUUUAAUUUUUAACUGAUUUUGUAUAGUUUUAUUGGUGUUUUUAUCCGGUUUUAUUGUUUUAGAAUAUAAUAGUUCUGUAUUAAAUUCGGCGCCAUUUGACCCAGCAGUUGCAGGGCCAAGAUGAACGCUCAAAUAAUCAAUCAAUCAAUCCAAAAGUUCAACACCCAUACCCCAAGUUCAACCCCAGUAUCCCUAAGUUGAAGUCCCAUACCCCUAUAUUUAACUCCCAUGUCCCCAAGUUCAACCCCAGUAUCCCCAAAUUUAAGUUCCAUAUCCCUAAGUUGAAGUCCUAUACCCCAAUAUUUAACUCCCAUAUCCCCAAGUUCAACCCCAGUAUCCCCAAAUUUAAGUUCCAUAUCCCUAAGUUGAAGUCCCAUACCCCAAUAUUUAACUCCCAUAUCCCCAAGUUCAUCACCCAUACCCCUAACCUCAGCACCCAUGUUUAAGUUCAACAUCCAUACCCUUAAGUUCAAGCCCUGUACCUCAAAGUUUAAUCCUUUUAUUGUUGUUGUUGUUGCCUCUAUAGAUUCAGUUUUAGGGUCUGUUAGUGAACGUCCCUGAGCCCGGUGGUGGCGCAAGCAGGAUUGUUUCAGUGAUGCCUAUUACUAAUGAGACUUUCUAUACAACAAAGUGAGGCCAUAAGGUGCUGGCUAUCAUGUGUUGGAAGAUACCCUAAACUUAAAUUAACAAAACCCCAAACAGUUACUCUAGGUCUUGACUUAGAAAAUUCAUGUAUGCUUCCUUACUAACGAGACUUUCUAUACAACAAAGUGAGGUCAUUCUUUGUUGAUUUAUACCAUAAGGUGCUGGCUAUCAUGUGUUUGAAGAUACCCUAAACUUAAAUUAACAAAACCCCAAACAGUUACAAUAGGUCUUCACUUAGAAAAUUCAUAUAUGCUUCCUUACUAACAAGACUUUCUAUACAACAAAGUGAGGUCAUUCUUUGUUGAUUUAUACCAUAAGGUGCUGGCUAUCAUGUGUUUGAAGAUACCCUAAACUUUAAUUAACAAAAGCCCAAACAGUUACAAUAGGUCUUGACUUAGAAAAUUCAUAUAUGCUUCCUU